Molecule: ribosomal RNA, 462 nt
Filed under: uncultured bacterium
Lineage: Bacteria
Description: partial 16S ribosomal RNA
Rfam family: Bacterial small subunit ribosomal RNA
Source: RNAcentral
GACGAACGCUGGCGGCGUGCUUAACACAUGCAAGUCGAACGGUGAAGCCCUUCGGGGUGGAUCAGUGGCGAACGGGUGAGUAACACGUGAGCAACCUGCCCCUGGCUCUGGGACAACCACUGGAAACGGUGGCUAAUACCGGAUACGACCCGCCUCGGCAUCGAGUGUGGGUGGAAAGUUUUUCGGCUGGUGAUGGGCUCGCGGCCGAUCAGCUUGUGGGUGAGGUGAAGGCUCACCAAGGCGACGACGGGUAGCCGGCCUGGGAGGGCGAACGGCCACACUGGGCCUGCGACACGGCCCAGACUCCUACGGGAGGCAGCAGUGGGGAAUAUUGCACAAUGGGCGAAAGCCUGAUGCAGCGACGCCGCGUGAGGGAUGACGGCCUUCGGGUUGUAAACCUCUUUCAGCUCCGAAGAAGCGAAAGUGACGGUAGGAGCAGAAGAAGCACCGGCUAACUACGUG